GGGCUUUUCGCAUACCAGAGCGUGUUUAGAUGUGGGACUUUGCAUCUAACCUCUCAAAAGAUGCGCUUUUUCUUUCAAUCACAUCAAAUCAGAUGGCAAAUCUAACAAUGAAAACAUUUUGAUCAAAUUGCUUUAAUUUUGAGGAGAUAACAGAGCGUUAAAAGUGAAAACCCAGCGACUGCAUGAGAACUCAACAGUAAGAAUGAAGACAAAGCUCGCUGAAAUUGUAGCCGAAAGAGAGCAUCAGGGCUUUCAGACACAGCAGUAAUAUGAUGCACUGGAUGCUACGGGCUGGUAAAGGAGAAAAGAAGAAGAUACAGUAGUUUGCCAUAUGAUUGACUACCUUUUUUUGUAAUUGCUAAAAGGUUAUUUGGGAAUGUUUUGUAUGUGCUAAUGGUUACUGUAGGACAAGCAGGCAUCCCUCUUGAAAAAAAGCAUUUCCAUCAAACACGGGCUAGUCUUUUCUUAUUCUUAGAGUUUCAUUGAUCUAAAUAAUUGGAUUAUAGAGAUAGCUCAGUGAAUUUGAUUGUACAUUUAAAGUUAAAUAAAGUGUGUAUUUAUUGUA
Nematostella vectensis (starlet sea anemone) is the source of this 565-nucleotide long non-coding RNA. RefSeq lists it as uncharacterized. The record is from RefSeq and is a predicted model, not a curated record. The transcript is spliced from 2 exons. NCBI's taxonomy places the organism in Eukaryota, Metazoa, Cnidaria, Anthozoa, Actiniaria, Edwardsiidae.